AAAGUCGUAACAAGGUUUCCGUAGGUGAACCUGCGGAAGGAUCAUUCACUAAAGUGUUUAUGGCACUUUCAAAUCCAUUACCCACCUUGUGUGCAUUGUCGGGGGAGGUCUCAAUCUCAAUGAGUGAGGGAUCCUCCUUUUUACACAUACUAUGUUCUUCAGUAUCAGUCUACUUUUAUAGAGUGUAAAAAACUCGAAUACAACUUUCAACAACGGAUCUCUUGGCUCUC
This 230-nucleotide unclassified non-coding RNA is filed under the name Mucoromycotina sp. RNAcentral's name for it is "partial contains small subunit ribosomal RNA, internal transcribed spacer 1, and 5.8S ribosomal RNA". The stretch from base 1 to 47 matches the Rfam family "Eukaryotic small subunit ribosomal RNA", at positions 1785 to 1831 of the family's 1831-position model. The record is from RNAcentral. Lineage: Eukaryota; Fungi; Mucoromycota.